UCGGUCGUCUCCUGGCAGCGCGCGACGGCGACAUCGGCCGGAAUUGAACGGGACGGCGGCGAGCAGUCCUGGAACGGGGCUGUGGCGCCUCGUCUCUUUUCUCCCUCGAGAUCGUGCACGGGAUUGGCCCAAUCCCCACCUCCCACGCCCUCUGCUGCCUCCCCGGCUCGUCUCCUUCCAUCCUCGUUCUUCGGUUUUAGCCAUGGAGGACGCGGAUCAAGUGGCAGCGCAGCACGGGGCUUAGAUUUGUUCAGGGAACGGAGUAGGAGGGCUGGGCCACCAUACGUGCUUCCACGACUGCCUACACCACUUCUCGUCUUCCUCCUGGCCAAAAUCAUGCCUAAAGUGAUGGACUGCUCCUGGAAGAAAGAAGCAUCAGCGGGCAGCGCGUAGAAGAGGAAGCGGGUCGGCGGCGUGGAGGUUGCAGGCUGGCGCGGAGAAGAGGCAGCGGCGGGCG
Lolium rigidum is the source of this 457-nucleotide long non-coding RNA. RefSeq lists it as uncharacterized. NCBI's taxonomy places the organism in Eukaryota, Viridiplantae, Streptophyta, Magnoliopsida, Poales, Poaceae. The transcript has 3 exons. The record is from RefSeq and is a predicted model, not a curated record.